AAACUUUACAAUGCGGGAAACCGUGAUAAGGGAACUCCGAGUGCCCGUUAAAUCGGGCUGUCCACCAGUUUAAAAAACUGGUGAAGAAAGGGCCGGGCAAGACCGGUGCCAGCCGCCGCGAUAAUACCGGCGGCUCGAGUGGUGGCCACUAUUACUGGGCUUAAAGCGUUCGUAGCUGGUUUGUUAAGUCUCUGGGGAAAUCUUCCGGCUUAACCGGAAGGCGUCUCAGGGAUACUGGCAGACUAGGGACCAGAAGAGGUGAGGGGUACUCCGGGGGUAGGAGUGAAAUCCUGUAAUCCUUGGGGGACCACCUGUGGCGAAGGCGCCUCACCAGGACGGCUCCGACAGUGAGGGACGAAAGCUAGGGGCACGAACCGG
Molecule: ribosomal RNA, 378 nt
Filed under: uncultured archaeon
Lineage: Archaea
Description: bacterial SSU rRNA
Rfam family: Archaeal small subunit ribosomal RNA
Source: RNAcentral